Molecule: ribosomal RNA, 459 nt
Filed under: uncultured bacterium
Lineage: Bacteria
Description: partial 16S ribosomal RNA
Rfam family: Bacterial small subunit ribosomal RNA
Source: RNAcentral
CCUACGGGAGGCAGCAGUGAGGAAUAUUGGUCAAUGGGCGGGAGCCUGAACCAGCCAAGUCGCGUGAGGGAGGAAGGCACAGAGGGUUGUAAACCUCUUUUGUCAGGGAACAAAGAGUGGGACGCGUCCCCGGAUGAGUGUACCUGAAGAAAAAGGAUCGGCUAACUCCGUGCCAGCAGCCGCGGUAAUACGGAGGAUCGGAGGGUUAUCCGGUUUUAUUGGGUUUAAGGGGGGCGCGGGCGGUUGUUUAAGUCAUGGGUCAAAGCGUGGGGCUCAACCCCGUCCCGCCGUUGAAACUGGCAGUCUUGAGUUGAAGAGAAGUAUGCGGAAUGCGCGGUGUAGCGGUGAAAUGCAUAGAUAUCGCGCAGAACUCCGAUUGCGAAGGCAGCAUGCCGGCUUCACACUGACGCUGAGGCACGAAAGCGUGGGUAUCGAACAGGAUUAGAUACCCGAGUAGUC